RNAcentral lists this ribosomal RNA (465 nucleotides) under uncultured bacterium. RNAcentral describes it as "partial 16S ribosomal RNA". It matches the Rfam family "Bacterial small subunit ribosomal RNA", at positions 28 to 507 of the family's 1533-position model. The record is from RNAcentral.
GACGAACGCUGGCGGCGUGCUUAACACAUGCAAGUCGUACGGUAAGGCCCUUUCGGGGGUACACGAGUGGCGAGCGGGUGAGUAACACGUGAGUAACCUGCCCACAACUUUGGGAUAACGCUAGGAAACUGGUGCUAAUACUGGAUAUGUGCUCCUGCUGCAUGGUGGGGGUUGGAAAGCUCCGGCGGUUGUGGAUGGACUCGCGGCCUAUCAGCUUGUUGGUGGGGUAGUGGCCUACCAAGGCGGCGACGGGUAGCCGGCCUGAGAGGGUGACCGGCCACAUUGGGACUGAGAUACGGCCCAGACUCCUACGGGAGGCAGCAGUGGGGAAUAUUGCACAAUGGGCGCAAGCCUGAUGCAGCAACGCCGCGUGCGGGAUGACGGCCUUCGGGUUGUAAACCGCUUUCAGCAGGGACGAAGCUUUUUGUGACGGUACCUGCAGAAGAAGCACCGGCUAACUACGUG